This 440-nucleotide ribosomal RNA is filed under the name uncultured bacterium. Its description in RNAcentral is "partial 16S ribosomal RNA". It matches the Rfam family "Bacterial small subunit ribosomal RNA", at positions 338 to 795 of the family's 1533-position model. The record is from RNAcentral.
CCUACGGGGGGCAGCAGUGGGGAAUAUUGGGCAAUGGAGGCAACUCUGACCCAGCAACGCCGCGUGAAUGAUGAAGGUCUUCGGUAUGUAAAGCUCUAUCAGCAGGGAAGAAGAUGACGGUACCUGAGUAAGAAGCCCCGGCUAACUACGUGCCAGCAGCCGCGGUAAUACGUAGGGGGCAAGCGUUAUCCGGAUUUACUGGGUGUAAAGGGAGCGUAGACGGUGAGACAAGUCUGAAGUGAAAGCCCGGGGCUCAACCCCGGGACUGCUUUGGAAACUGCCUGACUGGAGUGCUGGAGAGGCAAGCGGAAUUCCUAGUGUAGCGGUGAAAUGCGUAGAUAUUAGGAAGAACACCAGUGGCGAAGGCGGCUUGCUGGACAGUAACUGACGUUGAGGCUCGAAAGCGUGGGGAGCAAACAGGAUUAGAUACCCUGGUAGUC